CCUACGGGAGGCUACAGUGAGGAAUAUUGGUCAAUGGACGAGAGUCUGAACCAGCCAAGUAGCGUGAAGGAUGACUGCCCUAUGGGUUGUAAACUUCUUUUAUAAAGGAAUAAAACGCGGCACGUGUGCCUUUUUGCAUGUACCUUAUGAAUAAGGAUCGGCUAACUCCGUGCCAGCAGCCGCGGUAAUACGGAGGAUCCGUGCGUUAUCCGGAUUUAUUGGGUUUAAAGGGUGCGUAGGUGGGUUGUUAAGUCAGUUGUGAAAGUUUGCGGCUCAACCGUAGAAUUGCAAUUGAUACUGGCAGUCUGGAGUACAGUUGAGGUAGGCGGAAUUCGUGGUGUAGCGGUGAAAUGCUUAGAUAUCACGAAGAACCCCGAUUGCGAAGGCAGCUUACUAGACUGUGACUGACAUUGAUGCACGAAAGUGUGGGUAUCAAACAGGAUUAGAUACCCCAGUAGUC
RNAcentral lists this ribosomal RNA (460 nucleotides) under uncultured bacterium. RNAcentral's name for it is "partial 16S ribosomal RNA". It matches the Rfam family "Bacterial small subunit ribosomal RNA", at positions 338 to 795 of the family's 1533-position model. The record is from RNAcentral.